CUACGGGCGGCUGCAGUGAGGAAUAUUGCACAAUGGACGGAAGUCUGAUGCAGCGACGCCGCGUGGAUGUUGAAGGCCUUCGGGUUGUAAAAUCCUUUUCAGGGAGAAGAGGAAGGACGGUAUCCCUGGAAUAAGCGUCGGCUAACUACGUGCCAGCAGCCGCGGUAAUACGUAGGACGCAAGCGUUAUCCGGAUUUACUGGGCGUAAAGCGUCUGUAGGCGGUUUAGUAAGUUUGAUGUGAAAGCUCCAGGCUCAACUUGGAGAGUGCAUUGAAUACUGCUAGACUUGAGGGGAUCAGAGGAAAGCGGAAUUUCCGGUGUAGCGGUAAAAUGCGCAGAUAUCGGAAAGAACACCAGUGGCGAAGGCGGCUUUCUGGGAUCAACCUGACGCUGAGAGACGAAAGCUAGGGUAGCGAACAGGAUUAGAUACCCGCGUAGUC
RNAcentral lists this ribosomal RNA (440 nucleotides) under uncultured bacterium. Its description in RNAcentral is "partial 16S ribosomal RNA". It matches the Rfam family "Bacterial small subunit ribosomal RNA", at positions 339 to 795 of the family's 1533-position model. The record is from RNAcentral.